Molecule: non-coding RNA, 73 nt
Organism: Trichonephila clavipes
Lineage: Eukaryota; Metazoa; Arthropoda; Arachnida; Araneae; Nephilidae
Source: the annotation of a GenBank genome assembly
GCUCCUGUAUCAUCAUGGAUAGUGCGUUGGACUUCUAAUCCAAAGGUAGUGGGUUCGAAUCCCACUAGAGAUG